AAGGAUGUAUAAAGGAAUCGAACUCAUUUUGUCACCUACUUGUCUAAGUCAGUAAAUAUACUUAAAUCGUAAAGCACAUUGCCACUUGUUGUUUCGGAUUCGACCACUUGUCACAUUUAUUUCAUAUAUAUAAAUCACAUAAUUUUCAGGUUGAAGUUUCACAUUUCUAGGUUUAAAAUUAUUCAAAGCAAAAAAAAAAAAGGCGCGUGGGUUCGCGUGAGGAGGAAGAAAAAAAAUGUUGAAGAUCCAAUGUGAAGAAGAGAGGGACAUGAAGAAUCCUUUGGAUUGGCAAAGACAAACCCCAAGGUUUAGUGCAGUGUUCUCCUCCAUUGAGCCAAGUGACCCAAUAAUAAUCCCAAAUUUUU
RNAcentral lists this long non-coding RNA (365 nucleotides) under Capsella rubella. Its description in RNAcentral is "long non-coding RNA (CRUB_LNC001019)". The record is from RNAcentral. Lineage: Eukaryota; Viridiplantae; Streptophyta; Magnoliopsida; Brassicales; Brassicaceae.